RNAcentral lists this transfer RNA (77 nucleotides) under Burkholderiales bacterium. Its description in RNAcentral is "tRNA-Arg". It matches the Rfam family "tRNA". From Rfam's summary of the family: Transfer RNA (tRNA) molecules are approximately 80 nucleotides in length. Their secondary structure includes four short double-helical elements and three loops (D, anti-codon, and T loops). The record is from RNAcentral. Lineage: Bacteria; Pseudomonadati; Pseudomonadota; Betaproteobacteria; Burkholderiales.
CUGCCCGUAGCUCAACCGGAUAGAGCACCGGCCUUCUAAGCCGGGGGUUGCGUGUUCGAGUCACGCCGGGCAGGCCA